Long non-coding RNA from Telopea speciosissima, 139 nucleotides. RefSeq lists it as uncharacterized. The transcript is spliced from 3 exons. The record is from RefSeq and is a predicted model, not a curated record. Lineage: Eukaryota; Viridiplantae; Streptophyta; Magnoliopsida; Proteales; Proteaceae.
AUUCAUCAAAAUCUUCUUCCUCUUCAUUCUCUUCCAUUGGCUCAAAAUCACUAGCAUCUUCCUCAACUUCAGCAGGACCAACAGGUCUUACAAGAUAAUCUGUUCCCAUAUCCUCCUCUUCAUCCUGGUCAUCAUUGUC